CUCGGAUAGGCUCGCGCUUGGUCACUUCACCCGGUGAGGAAGCGACCAAGAUUAGAGAAAUUGAAGAAAUUUUGUUCUUCAAGAUUAAAGCUGCAAGUGAUGUUUUGGGAAAUCGCUAAUUCGGGUUGACUAUCAUUUUGCUCGCAAGUUUUGCUCAUUGAUGAUUGGAGUAUUACUAGGUUGAAUCGGGAGCAAUGCCAUGAAUGGACAACAAAUGUGGCCUAAAGUCAAUGGUGAGCCAAUCAAACCUCCAUCUUACGGAAGGAAAAGGGGGAGAGAAAAGAAAAAUAGAAUCAAGGAUACGGAUGAGCGAAGUAGUGAUGGUAAGAAAUUGACGAAAGUUGGGGUCCAAAAGCGAUGUUCAAAUUGCCUUCAACAUGGGUAUAACAAGAAAACAUGCAAGAAUCCUGCGGUAUCUAGGCCUUCCAAAGCAAAAAGAGGAAGACCAACAAAAGUUAUUGGUACGUAGGAUAAUGCAUAGGCCAACAGACCAUUUGAAAGGAACUCCGCUAUCAUCAGGAAGGAGAGAGCAUAAAUUAGAAUUUUUUAGCCACAUUUUAUUCUCACAAUACUCGCGUACAUUGUGAUUAAUGUUUAAUGCUUAUUUUGUAUCUUGAGGCUCAACAAGGAUAUGGCCUUUUCAUGUCUGAAACUGGGAAUUCGUAUUUGAGGGUAAUAUCUUUGUAGUGCCAUAUGUUUUAUAUGUAUAUAAAAAAGAAAAACAAGUUCAUAUGUCAUAUUUUUUGUAAUGCAGAUGCUUAGUAGUGAUAGGGUUAUUGACAUCGGAGGUCCAUCCUUCUCCAAUAGACAAACAAGAGCAAUGAAUGUUCAAGCUUCACCUAGCCAAUCUUCAAUUGAUAUCUCGAAACCUCCAUGUAUUGAACAAUCUAGAAUUGGUGGUGGAUUGUGAAAUUGUGGAGGGAAAAAUGCCAGUGGAUAUUCAGUGCUUGCUUAGAUGAGGAUAUUUUGUUGGACAGCAAAGUGCUAGUUUUUAUGUUUUUGUAAGUGAAUUCGGCUGUGUACUGUGUACUGUGGCCGUUCUGGUGGAUUGUGAAAUUGUGUACUGUGCACUGUGUCCGGUUUUGGCAAUUUGGCUUAGGUGGCAGAUUGUGAAUCCAUGAUCCUUUUUAGUUGCAGUUGUAAUUUUGAAUCCAUCUAGAUUCUGCAGAUCGUGAAUCCAUCUUUUGAAUCCUCUUGUGAAUUACGUGACAGAUUUUGAAUCCAUCGGGAGGG
Molecule: long non-coding RNA, 1233 nt
Organism: Rhodamnia argentea
Lineage: Eukaryota; Viridiplantae; Streptophyta; Magnoliopsida; Myrtales; Myrtaceae
Exons: 4
Source: RefSeq, a predicted model, not a curated record